This is a long non-coding RNA of Mesocricetus auratus (golden hamster), 411 nucleotides long. RefSeq lists it as uncharacterized. The record is from RefSeq and is a predicted model, not a curated record. Lineage: Eukaryota; Metazoa; Chordata; Mammalia; Rodentia; Cricetidae. The transcript is spliced from 2 exons.
AGGAGUGCGAAGCAGCUUAGGUGACCUCCAGAGGUCCUUCAUGGUUCUGGAAUCGUGAAAUGAGCAGAGUCUGCCACUGCCACUAGCCAGCAAACUGCAAGCAACCAGUCAGGCAUCCCUAAUUCUCAGCUUCUGGACUGAGAGUGAAACAACGGCCCCUUACUUAAGAUUUCAAUGUUGCAAGAGCUUCUGCAAAGGCACUGGCAUUGAUGUGUCUGGGUCCCGAUUUCCUGACAUGUCAGGAUCCCGUCAUCUGGAGAGGAACUGUUUAUGGUCUAGCCCUCUGUGGCUCUGCUGUGGCCCAUCAUAAGCAAGUUCACACACAGUAUGACAUCCACCUCAGCAUGCUGCACUUCCCAUUCCACGAGCUUUGUACUUGAGCCAGAAAUGUAGUAAAACACCCAGUAGGUA